CUCAUGUCAUUGUAUUUGCUUCCGC
This 25-nucleotide non-coding RNA is filed under the name Cricetulus griseus (Chinese hamster). The record is from RNAcentral. Lineage: Eukaryota; Metazoa; Chordata; Mammalia; Rodentia; Cricetidae.